This 549-nucleotide ribosomal RNA is filed under the name uncultured bacterium. RNAcentral describes it as "partial 16S ribosomal RNA". It matches the Rfam family "Bacterial small subunit ribosomal RNA", at positions 355 to 895 of the family's 1533-position model. The record is from RNAcentral.
UGGGGAAUAUUGGACAAUGGGGGGAACCCUGAUCCAGCCAUGCCGCGUGUGUGAAGAAGGCCUUAUGGUUGUAAAGCACUUUAAGCGAGGAGGAGGCUACUAGUAUUAAUACUACUGGAUAGUGGACGUUACUCGCAGAAUAAGCACCGGCUAACUCUGUGCCAGCAGCCGCGGUAAUACAGAGGGUGCGAGCGUUAAUCGGAUUUACUGGGCGUAAAGCGUGCGUAGGCGGCCAUUUAAGUCAAAUGUGAAAUCCCCGAGCUUAACUUGGGAAUUGCAUUCGAUACUGGAUGGCUAGAGUAUGGGAGAGGAUGGUAGAAUUCCAGGUGUAGCGGUGAAAUGCGUAGAGAUCUGGAGGAAUACCGAUGGCGAAGGCAGCCAUCUGGCCUAAUACUGACGCUGAGGUACGAAAGCAUGGGGAGCAAACAGGAUUAGAUACCCUGGUAGUCCAUGCCGUAAACGAUGUCUACUAGCCGUUGGGGCCUUUGAGGCUUUAGUGGCGCAGCUAACGCGAUAAGUAGACCGCCUGGGGAGUACGGUCGCAAGACU